ACACUUUCUUUAUGGGCCAGUCAAUUCAAUCCACAACUUUGCUGCAAGGCGGACAGAACUGCAGACGACAAGAAAUUAUGUAUGUGCUCUAGGUCACUCUAAAUGUGCCGAAUUUCGAGCGUUCUUGGAUGGUGUGAAAGCAUUUUCACUAAGCGAGAAAAGCGGGACGCAACAUGAUAAGGAUAAGGUUACCUCGUGGGCUGUCUAAAGGGCAAGCAAUGUUGGCGAUCAUUUUGGGCUUCGGCUGCAGCUUAUACACCUGGUAUCCAGUGCUUCAGUACAAGCGUGCAAAAGUUAUUGCCGAAAAGCAGAAUGCUGCACCACAGGAUGAAUCGCCAUUGGACAACAAGUGACCUUACCAGGUCGGAAAGCCGUCGGAGCGGAUCAACAUCAUCUCGUGUUCCUAGACGUCGCGUACAUCAAGCGAAAUGAAAAUUGCGAAAGGCAA
This is a long non-coding RNA of Dermacentor albipictus, 448 nucleotides long. RefSeq lists it as uncharacterized. NCBI's taxonomy places the organism in Eukaryota, Metazoa, Arthropoda, Arachnida, Ixodida, Ixodidae. The record is from RefSeq and is a predicted model, not a curated record.